Molecule: non-coding RNA, 89 nt
Filed under: Arabidopsis thaliana (thale cress)
Lineage: Eukaryota; Viridiplantae; Streptophyta; Magnoliopsida; Brassicales; Brassicaceae
Source: RNAcentral
GAUUCCGCAACCUUGUAUCUCAAGCCUACAACAGUAUACGAACUCUCUUCUUACAAUUUUCAUUUUUUAAAAGGUAAGUUUCAAAGAAG